GCCAACUUGUGAAAUGGGACAUGGACAUCUACAGUAAUUCUGUUCCCCGUAUCAGUGGAAGAAUUACACGAUACCACAUAGGAGGGGAGUAUGGCAGCCACUUAUAGUUGGUGUGUGAACGGCACUGUAUACGGGAGACUUGGAGUCAAAUAAGAGGUCCCCGAAAGCUGCGAUAUUCUCACCACACCGAAAUGAAAUAUGUUCUGUAUAUCCUGAGACUUGAAUUACUGCCAUCUCCUUAGGGAUGAAUUUUGAUCUCACUACAUCCAAUCCCACAAUGAAGCAAAGAGAAGGCAAAAGCACGAGAAGGAGUCUAUACGCCAUUCUGGAAGUCAUCGUGAUUUAAAGGGCAAUAUAUUCAUUAAUUAACAUCUGCAGAAAAUAGUCAAAGUUAAACCAUAGCAAAAGCCCGAGCGAUGCUCCGCCGGGGAUUUGGGCAGCAUGUGACAACUCUAUACAAUGUAGAGCCUGGGCACAUUUACUGCAGAACGUGGAGUGGUUGUGGAUUUAGAUUUUCCAUUAAAGUCAUUACUGUAGACA
Long non-coding RNA from Hyla sarda, 540 nucleotides. RefSeq lists it as uncharacterized. The record is from RefSeq and is a predicted model, not a curated record. The transcript is spliced from 3 exons. Lineage: Eukaryota; Metazoa; Chordata; Amphibia; Anura; Hylidae.